GUACCUAAAGUCGGUAACCGUAAGGAGCCGCCUAGGUAAACGUGGUGACUGGGGCU
RNAcentral lists this ribosomal RNA (56 nucleotides) under uncultured bacterium. RNAcentral's name for it is "partial 16S ribosomal RNA". The record is from RNAcentral.